RNAcentral lists this long non-coding RNA (392 nucleotides) under Homo sapiens (human). Its description in RNAcentral is "HSALNT0311417". Lineage: Eukaryota; Metazoa; Chordata; Mammalia; Primates; Hominidae. The record is from RNAcentral.
CAGCACCAUGCUUCUUGUACAGCCUGAGGAACCUUCCAUUGUGAGUGCUGUGGCUUGUGUUUCACAUCGUGUGACAACCUGUGGCCCUGCAUCUCCCAGACACAGUGCCAGGGUAAGUCCCAGGCCAGGCACACCACUAACUGACUGAAGAACCCUUGGACCUUGAGGGAACAUUGGUGGUAGCUUGGCAAUACUCUCUGUGGGCCUGUGGUGGUGGCGGCCACAGGUGAGGCUCCUUUGACUGUGGAAAUGGGAGGGAAGAGUGGGAAGGACUGUGUCUUGUAGUUUGAGCGACAGCUCAGCCACAGUACAAUAAAACACCACGUAGACAUCUAUGGUUUUUGACUCUAGUUCCUGGCUGGAGCAUGGUACCUCGAUAGCUGCCCAGGGCC